AUGAAAUUACUGCUGACCUUCCACAGGUGUGCAAGCUGGCUGUGGUAUGGCUGUGCUUAUCAGGUUUCCCCAAGUGUGGCAGUGCAGCUUGAUAAACUGGGGAAGCUCAUUAUGUUCAACAGCUGGGCUCUUGCAUAUGCACUUCUACUUUCUCAAAUGACUGAGAUUAAACACUGCUAUGCUGUUGCUUCUAGACUUGCAUGUUUUUGCUAUCCUACCUGUGUCAAUGUUAGUGGCUUUUUGGAGUCAAAUAGGUGGGGUGUGGGACAGGAUGCCUUGCUGAUACCUGGAGCGGUGGUGUUCUGCAGGAAGGACAGGAGGAACACAGCUGCUCCAAGACAUGCUUUUGGCACAGCAAAGGUUUAUUCUGCAGCUCCUCAGUGUGACAUCUGGAAACCUACCAGGUUAAAUGGAUAG
RNAcentral lists this long non-coding RNA (417 nucleotides) under Anser cygnoides (Swan goose). RNAcentral describes it as "lncRNA (ENSACDG00005000139.1)". Lineage: Eukaryota; Metazoa; Chordata; Aves; Anseriformes; Anatidae. The record is from RNAcentral.